CCCUAAACCGGUAGUUUUGCACAGAAAAAAAAACCCUUGCGGUUUUUCCCUCUCAUGUGAGGGUUUUUUCCCCUCCUUGAGCUACCACCUUACCGUGGUGGAGGGGUUUGUGUGUCCCAAUGAUCCCAGGAGCUAUGUUGUCAGGGCUUUAUGCCUCUGAAAGGUCACCCAAGGCAAACAGGUCCUGGGGGAGUGACCAGACUAAGAGUAGCUCAUCCAGACAGAGGUGCCAGGCAGAAAAAUAGGAAAAAAAAAACUGAAGAAAAAAAAACAAAAAAAAAAACUAAAAAAAGAGAAAGGAUAGUAUAAACAAAAUAAAAAAAGAAGGAAAAGUAUUUCAGAAAAGAACAACCUAUAUAUAUAUAUAAAUAACAAAAAACUAAAAAAAAGCUAAAAAACAAACUUAAAACAGGCAGAAAAAAAUAAAGAAAACUAAAAAAAGAGAAAGAAUAGUAUAAACAAAAAAAAAAAAAACAGAAGGAAAAGUAUUUCAGAAAAGAACAACCUAUAUAUAUAUAUAACAAAAAAACUAAAAAAAACUAAAAAACAAACUUAAAACAGGCAGAAAAAAUAAAGAAAACUAAAAAAAGAGAAAGAAUAGUAUAAACAAAAAAAAACAGAAGGAAAAGUAUUUCAGAAAAGAACAACCUAUAUAUAUAUAUAUAUAUAUAUAUAUAUAUAUAUAUAUAGAAAAACUAAAAGAAAAAACUGAAAAAAAACUUUAAACAGGCAGAAAAAAAACUAAAGAAAACUAAAAAAAGAGAAAGGAUAGUAUAAACAAAAUAAAAAACAAACAAAAGGAAAAGUAUUUCAGAAAAGAACAACCUAUAUAAAUAUAUAUAACAAAAAAACUAAAAAAAACUUAAAAAAAAACUUAAAACAGGCAGAAAAAAAUAAAGAAAACUACAAAGGAGAAAGAAUAGUAUAAACAAAAACAAAAAAACAGAAAGAAAAGUAUAUCUGAAAAAAACACCCUAAAUAUAUAUAUUUAUAACAAAAAACUAAAAGAAAAAACUAAAAAACAAACUUAAAACAGGCAGAAUAAAACUAAAGAAAACUAUAAAAAGAGAAAGGAUAGUAUAAACAAAAUAAAAAAAACAGAAGGAAAAGUAUAUCUGACAAAACACCCUAAAUAUGUAUAAAUAUAUAUAUAUAUAACAAAAAAACUAAAGAAAACAAAAAAAUAGAGAAAAGAUUAGUAUUUUAAAAAAUUUUUUUAAAAAAAACUUAAAACAGGCAGAAAAAAACUAAAGAAAACUUAAAAAAGAGAAAGAAUUGUAUAAAUAAAAUAAAAAAAAAACAGAAAGAAAAGUAUAUCCGAAAAAAACACCACUUUAAAUAUAUAUAUAUGAUAAAAAUAAACUAAAAAAAAAUUAAAACAGGCAGAAAAAUAAAAAAGAUAUAUAGGAAACUAAAAACAAAGAAAAGUAUUUUUGAAAAAAAAAAAAAAACCCACACUAAACCGGGUGUUUUGCACAGAAAAAAAAACCCUUGCGGUUUUUCCCUCUCAUGUGAGGGUUUUUUCCCCUCCUUGAGCUACCACCUUACCGUGGUGGAGGGGUUUGUGUGUCCCAAUGAUCCCAGGAGCUAUGUUGUCAGGGCUUUAUGCCUCUGAAAGGUCAACCAAGGCAAACAGGUCCUGGGGGAGGGACCAGACUAAGAGUAGCUCAUCCAGACAGAGGUGCCAGGCAAAAAAAUAGGGAAAAAAAAACUGAAGAAAACAAACUAAAGAAAACAAAAAAGACAAAACAAUAGUAUUUCUGAGAAUAAACAACUUUAAAAAAACUUAAAAAAAAACUAAAAAAAAGACUUAAAACAAGAAGAAAAAAAACUAAAGAAAACUACAAAAAGAAGAAAAAGAAUGGUAUUUCUAAAAAAACUUGAAAAAACACUAAAAAAAUUUAAAAAGGCAGAAAAAACUAAAUAAUAGUAAAAAAAGGAGAAAGAAUAGUAUAACCAAAAUAAAAAAACAGAAAGAAAAGUAUUACUUUAAAAAACACUAAAUAUAUAUAUAUAAAUAUAUAUAUAUAUAUAUAUAUAUAUAUAUAACAAAAAACUAAAAAAACAAAAAAAAACUUAAAACAGGCAGAAAAAAAUAAAGAAAACUAAAAAAGAGAAAGAAUAGUAUAAACAAAAUAAAAAACAGAAAGAAAAGUUUAUCUAAAAAAAAUACUUUAAAUAUAUAUAACAAAACAAUUAAAAUAAACUUUGAACAGGCAGAAAAACAACUAAAGAAAACUAAAAAAAGAGAUAGAAUAGUAUAAACAAAAUAAAAAAAUCAGAACGAAAAGUACAUCUGAAAAAAACACUUUAAAUAUAAAUAUAUAACAAAAAAAACUUAAAACAGGCAGAAAAAACUAAAGAAAACUAAAAAAAGAGAAAGAAUAGUAUAAACAAAAUAAAAAAUAGAAAGAAAAGUAUUUCUGAAAAAAAAAAUCUAAAUAUAUAAAUAACAAAAAAAAACUUAAAACAGGCAGAAAAAAAUAAAGAAAACUAAAAAAGGAGAAAUAAUAGUAUAAACAAAAUAAAAAAAACAGAAAGAAAAGUUUAUCUAUAAAAAACUUUAAAUAUAUAUAUAUAACAAAAAACUAAAAUAAACGUUAUACAGGCAGAAAAACAACUAAAGAAAACUAAAAAAAGAGAAAGAAUAGUAUGAACAAAAUAAAAAAAUCAAAAAGAAAAGUUUAUCUAAAAAAAACUUUAAAUAUAUAUAUAACAAAAAACUAAAAUAAACUUUAAACAGGCAGAAAAACAACUAAAGAAAACAAAAAGAAGAGAAAGAAUAGUAUAAACAAAAUUAAAAAAUCAAAAAGAAAAGUAUAUCUAAACAACACUUUAAAUAUAUAUAUAACAAAAAACAAAAAAAAACUUAAAACAGGCAGAAAAAAAACUAAAGAAAACUAGAAAAAAGAAGUAAAAGAAUAGUAUUUGUAAAAAAAAAGACUAAAAAAAAGAAACAUAACAGUAUUUCUGAAAAAAAAACUUAAAACAGGCAGAAAAAUAAAAAAUAUAUAUAGGAAACUAAAAACAAAGAAAAGUAUUUUUGAAAAAAAAAAAAAAACCCACACUAAACACUAAACCGGGUGUUUUGCACAGAAAAAAAAAACCCUUGCGGUUUUUCCCUCUCAUGUGAGGGUUUUUUCCCCUCCUUGAGCUACCACCUUAUCAUGGUGGAGGGGUUUGUGUGUCCCAAUGAUCCCAGGAGCUAUGUUGUCAGGGCUUUAUGCCUCUGAAAGGUCACCCAAGGCAAACAGGUCCUGGGGGAGAGACCAGACUAAGAGUAGCUCAUCCAGACAGAGGUGCCAGGCAAGAAAAAUAGGAAAAAAGAAAAACUGAAGAAAACAAACUAAAGAAAACAAAAAGACAAAAGAAUAGUAUUUCUGAAAAUAAACAACUUUAAAAAAUAUUUUUUAAAAACUAAAAAAAAAACUUAAAACAGGCAGAAAAAAAACUAAAGACAACUACAAAAAGAAGAAAAAGAAUAGUAUUUGUAAAAAGAAAAGACUAAAAGAAAAAGAAACAUAACAGUAUUUCUAAAAAAAAACUUAAAACAGGCAGAAAAAUAAAAAAGAUAUAUUGGAAACUAAAGAAAAGAAAAGUAUUUCUGGAAAAAAUAAAAAAAACUGAAAACAGGCAAAAAAAACUAAAGAAAACUAAAACAAGGGAAAGAACAGUAUAAACAAAAUAGAAAAAACAGAAAGAAAAGUAUAUCUGAAAAAAACACUUUAAAUAUAUAUAAAUAACAAAAAACUAAAAAUAACUAAAAACAGGCAGAAAAAAACUAAAGAAAACUAAAAAAAAGAGAAAAAAUAGUAUAAACAAAAUAAAAAAAAGAAAGUAAAGUUUAUCUGAAAAAAACACUUUAAAUACAUAUAUAUAUAUAUAUAUAUAUAAAUAAAAAAAACUAAAAACAGGCUGAAAAAAACUAAAGAAAACUUAAAAAAGAGAAAGAAUAGUAUAAAUAAAAUAAAAAAACAGAAAGAAAAAUAUAUCUGAAAAAAAACACUUUAAAUAUAUAUAUAAUAAAAAAAGCUAAAAAAAAAUUAAAACAGGCAGAAAAAUAAAAAAGAUAUAUAGGAAACUAAAAACAAAGAAAAGUAUUUUUGAAAAAAAAAACAAACAAAAAAAACCCCACCCUAAACCGGGUGUUUCGCACAGAAAAAAAAACCCUUGCGGUUUUUCCCUCUCAUGUGAGGGUUUUUUCCCCUCCUUGAGCUACCACCUUACCGUGGUGGAGGGGUUUGUGUGUCCCAAUGAUCCCAGGAGCUAUGUUGUCAGGGCUUUAUGCCUCUAAAAGGUCACCCAAGGCAAACAGGUCCUGGGGGAGAGACCAGACUAAGAGUAACUCAUCCAGACAGAGGUGCCAGGCAAGAAAAAUAGGAAAAAAAAACUGAAGAAAACAAACUAAAGAAAACAAAAAGACAAAACAAUAGUAUUUCUGAAAAUAAACAACUUUAAAAAAUAUUUUUUAAAAACUAAAAAAAAAAACUUAAAACAGGCAGAAAAAAAACUAAAGACAACUACAAAAAGAAGAAAAAGAAUAGUAUUUGUAAAAAAAAAAGACUAAAAGAAAAAGAAACAUAACAGUAUUUCUAAAAAAAAAAACUUAAAACAGGCAGAAAAAUAAAAAAGAUAUAUUGGAAACUAAAGAAAAGAAAAGCAUUUCUGGAAAAAAUAAAAAAAACUGAAAACAGGCAAAAAAAACUAAAGAAAACUAAAACAAGAGAAAGAACAGUAUAAACAAAAUAGAAAAAACAGAAAGAAAAGUAUAUCUGAAAAAAAACACUUUAAAUAUAUAUAAAUAACAAAAAAACUAAAAAUAACUAAAAACAGGCAGAAAAAAACUAAAGAAAACUAAAAAAAGAGAAAAAAUAGUAUAAACAAAAUAAAAAAAAGAAAGUAAAGUUUAUCUGAAAAAAACACUUUAAAUACACAUAUAUAUAUAUAUAAAAAUAAAAAAAACUAAAAACAGGCUGAAAAAAACUAAAGAAAACUUAAAAAAGAGAAAGAAUAGUAUAAAUAAAAUAAAAAAACAGAAAGAAAAAUAUAUCUGAAAAAAAACACUUUAAAUAUAUAUAUAACAAAAAAAGCUAAAAAAAAAUUAAAACAGGCAGAAAAAUAAAAAAGAUAUAUAGGAAACUAAAAACAAAGAAAAGUAUUUUUGAAAAAAAAAACAAACAAAAAAAACCCCACCCUAAACCGGGUGUUUCGCACAGAAAAAAAAACCCUUGCGGUUUUUCCCUCUCGUGAGGGUUUUUUCCCCUCCUUGAGCUACCACCUUAUCGUGGUGGAGGGGUUUGUGUGUCCCAAUGAUCCCAGGAGCUAUGUUGUCAGGGCUUUGUGCCUCUGAAAGGUCACCCAAGGCAAACAGGUCCAGGGGGAGAGACCAGACUAAGAGUAGCUCAUCCAGACAGAGGUGCCAGGCAAAAAAAUAGGAAAAAAAAAACCUGAAGAAAACAAACUAAAGAAAACAAAAAAGACAAAAGAAUACUAUUUCUGAGAAUAAACAACUUUAAAAAAUUUAAAAAGAAACUAAAAAAAAGACUUAAAACAGGCAGAAAAAAACCAAAGACAACUACAAAAAGAGAAAAAAGAAUAGUAUUUCUAAAAAAAACUUGAAAAAAACUAAAAAAAAACUUAAAACAGGCAG
Molecule: non-coding RNA, 5650 nt
Organism: Xyrichtys novacula (pearly razorfish)
Lineage: Eukaryota; Metazoa; Chordata; Actinopteri; Labriformes; Labridae
Source: the annotation of a GenBank genome assembly